UACGGGUUGGCCGGUGGCCCGCCGAGUGC
Molecule: small RNA, 29 nt
Filed under: Bombyx mori (domestic silkworm)
Lineage: Eukaryota; Metazoa; Arthropoda; Insecta; Lepidoptera; Bombycidae
Description: ovarian small RNA-21141
Source: RNAcentral